AUUGAACGCUGGCGGCAGGCUUAACACAUGCAAGUCGAGCGGGGGAAGGUAGCUUGCUACCGGACCUAGCGGCGGACGGGUGAGUAAUGCUUAGGAAUCUGCCUAUUAGUGGGGGACAACAUCUCGAAAGGGAUGCUAAUACCGCAUACGUCCUACGGGAGAAAGCGGGGGAUCUUCGGACCUUGCGCUAAUAGAUGAGCCUAAGUCGGAUUAGCUAGUUGGUGGGGUAAAGGCCUACCAAGGCGACGAUCUGUAGCGGGUCUGAGAGGAUGAUCCGCCACACUGGGACUGAGACACGGCCCAGACUCCUACGGGAGGCAGCAGUGGAGAAUAUUGGACAAUGGGGGGAACCCUGAUCCAGCCAUGCCGCGUGUGUGAAGAAGGCCUUAUGGUUGUAAAGCACUUUAAGCGAGGAGGAGGCUACUCUAGUUAAUACCUAGGGAUAGUGGACGUUACUCGCAGAAUAAGCACCGGCUAACUCUGUGCCAGCCGCCGCGGUAA
RNAcentral lists this ribosomal RNA (501 nucleotides) under uncultured bacterium. Its description in RNAcentral is "partial 16S ribosomal RNA". It matches the Rfam family "Bacterial small subunit ribosomal RNA", at positions 30 to 523 of the family's 1533-position model. The record is from RNAcentral.